Suricata suricatta (meerkat) is the source of this 606-nucleotide long non-coding RNA. RefSeq lists it as uncharacterized. The transcript has 6 exons. NCBI's taxonomy places the organism in Eukaryota, Metazoa, Chordata, Mammalia, Carnivora, Herpestidae. The record is from RefSeq and is a predicted model, not a curated record.
ACUCCCAGUUUUGGAUGCAAGGAUCUUUUGGAACCCACACCAUCCAGUGACUCAUCUGAAACCAACUCAUAUUUUUCCCUUCAGAAUUCUUUUAUUAAGUGGCAGCCAAAUGAUUUGGAAUAUUCCUCUGCGAGAAUGAAGUUGAUACAACACUGGUGAAUCAAGUCAGAGGCUGUGGUUGCCCUCUUGGGUACCUAUUCCACUGAGAAUUUCAUAGAACUUUAAUCUUUGUGACCAGACAUUAAUAAAGGAGAUCAACAGGACACUUUCUUUCUUUUUGAGUGGCACAAGCAAUUUGAAGAUUAUAAGUGAAGUUGUAUCACCUUCCUUGAAGGGCAAGAUGAAGAAAUUGAAGCUCAGGAACAUUUAUGUUGUUUUUCAAGGGGAUAAAAUGAGCAUCACAAAAACCUUCAACCCACGUGAAAAUAAGCAAUGGCCAUUUUGAAGAUAAUGGAGGGGUCAUUUGGAAUAUCUCAGUGGGGACCCAGAACUGAUGAGUAUGUGUGUACCCUUACACAUAGAAAGAUGGAGGUUGGAAGAUGCCAAUCGGCUGGCUGCUGGGGAGUCUGCGCUGAUACGGGUAUCAUGGUGAACCACAAUUUCAAA